GCUGGGCAUGGUUGCGCAUGCCUGUAGUCCCAGGUACUUGGGAGGCUGAGACAGGAGAACUGCUUGAACCCAGGAGGUGGAGGUUGCAGCAAGCUGAUAUUGUGCCACUGCACUCCAGCCUGGGUGACAGAGCGAGACCCUGUCUCAA
This 148-nucleotide non-coding RNA is filed under the name Gorilla gorilla gorilla (western lowland gorilla). Lineage: Eukaryota; Metazoa; Chordata; Mammalia; Primates; Hominidae. The record is from Rfam by way of RNAcentral.